This 479-nucleotide ribosomal RNA is filed under the name uncultured bacterium. RNAcentral describes it as "bacterial SSU rRNA". It matches the Rfam family "Bacterial small subunit ribosomal RNA", at positions 28 to 524 of the family's 1533-position model. The record is from RNAcentral.
GACGAACGCUGGCGGCGUGCUUAACACAUGCAAGUCGAACGGUGACCCAGGGCUUGCCCUGGUGAUCAGUGGCGAACGGGUGAGUAACACGUGGGCAACCUGCCCCUGACUUCGGGAUAACUCCUCGAAAGAGGAGCUAAUACCGGAUACGACCACUUCGGACAUCCGAUGGUGGUGGAAAGUUUUUCGGUCAGGGAUGGGCCCGCGGCCUAUCAGCUAGUUGGUGGGGUAAUGGCCUACCAAGGCGACGACGGGUAGCCGGCCUGAGAGGGCGACCGGCCACACUGGGACUGAGACACGGCCCAGACUCCUACGGGAGGCAGCAGUGGGGAAUAUUGCGCAAUGGGCGAAAGCCUGACGCAGCGACGCCGCGUGAGGGAUGAAGGCCUCGGUUGUAACCUCUUUCAGCAGGACGAAGCGAAAGUGACGGUACCUGCAGAAGAAGCACCGGCUAACUACGUGCCAGCAGCCGCGGUAAU